GUGGGGGCAGAAGCAAGCAUCAUCUUGGGGCAGGAGCAGGAUUCCUUCGGUGGGAACUUUGAAGAAAGCCAGUCCCUGGUGGGAGACAUUGGAAAUGUGAACAUGUGGGACUUUGUGCUGUCACCAGAUGAGAUUAACACCAUCUAUCUUGGCGGGCCCUUCAGUCCUAAUGUCCUGAACUGGCGGGCACUGAAGUAUGAAGUGCAAGGCGAAGUGUUCACCAAACCCCAGCUGUGGCCCUGAGGCCCAGCUGUGGGUCCUGAAGUGCUUUCUUAAUUUUAUGGCUCUUCUGGGAAACUCCUCCCCUUUUCCACACGAACCUUGUGGGGCUGUGAAUUCUUUCUUCAUCCCCGCAUUCCCAAUAUACCCAGGCCACAAGAGUGGACGUGAACCACAGGGUGUCCUGUCAGAGGAGCCCGUCUCCCAUCUCCCCAGCUCCCUAUCUGGAGGAUAGUUGGAUAGUUACGUGUUCCUAGCAGGACCAACUACAGUCUUCCCAAGGAUUGAGUUAUGGACUUUGGGAGUGAGACAUCUUCUUGCUGCUGGAUUUCCAAGCUGAGAGGACGUGAACCUGGGACCACCAGUAGCCAUCUUGUUUGCCACAUGGAGAGAGACUGUGAGGACAGAAGCCAAACUGGAAGUGGAGGAGCCAAGGGAUUGACAAACAACAGAGCCUUGACCACGUGGAGUCUCUGAAUCAGCCUUGUCCGGAACCAGAUCUACACCUGGACUGUCCAGGUCUAUAAGCCAAUAAAGCCCCUGUUUACUU
Molecule: small RNA, 769 nt
Filed under: Pan troglodytes (chimpanzee)
Lineage: Eukaryota; Metazoa; Chordata; Mammalia; Primates; Hominidae
Description: processed transcript
Source: RNAcentral